UUGGACGGUUGGGUUUGGUUUCACACCUGGAAAAAUUCAAGCGUACAAAAUUUAGUUAUUACAAAUCAGGCAAGAACGUCCAGCCCUAUUUUGGUCAGAUAUGUCUGGGGGAAAGUAAAUACAGGAAGAAGGUCCUGUGUUCUGGUCUAGUGGUCAAACCAGCUCAUUUUAUUAAAAUGAUUAGACAUUGAGACUUCGUCUGAUGUGGUCACUGAGACUUGGCUCUGCUCUGCCGGCGUCUGACUCCAACUUUAGCGGCAUCUGGUUUGACCACGGAGAUACGAGUGACAGACGGCAAGCUUGACCACAGUUUGUUUCUGUGAUAGAAACACUGCACGCUGCUACAGUUUGCUGCUCUGCUGCAAGGCAAACUGCUAAACACCCCUGACGACAGGAGACAUCAGCUCAGAUUGGAGGAGUGUGUAUAGUUGGUACUAUUUAGAAGUGGACUGUUACUAUAACUACGUUCCUGUAACUACUUGGUUUGAAAGAGACUACAUCCAAGUUUCAAAUCAUGACUGGAGGUUUUAUGUGGCAUGGCUUUAAAGGGCAGCUUAAAUGUAGCAGCAUUACAAACCAAAUCCUUGAUCAGUGAGGA
Molecule: long non-coding RNA, 598 nt
Organism: Etheostoma cragini (Arkansas darter)
Lineage: Eukaryota; Metazoa; Chordata; Actinopteri; Perciformes; Percidae
Exons: 3
Source: RefSeq, a predicted model, not a curated record